AGCGAACGCUGGCGGCAGGCCUAACACAUGCAAGUCGAACGAACUCUUCGGAGUUAGUUGCGGACGGGUGAGUAACACGUGGGAACGUGCCUUUUGGUUCGGAAUAACUCAGGGAAACUUGUGCUAAUACCGAAUGUGCCCUUCGGGGGAAAGAUUUAUCGCCAUUAGAGCGGCCCGCGUCUGAUUAGCUAGUUGGUGAGGUAACGGCUCACCAAGGCGACGAUCAGUAGCUGGUCUGAGAGGAUGACCAGCCACACUGGGACUGAGACACGGACCAGACUCCUACGGGAGGCAGCAGUGGGGAAUCUUGCGCAAUGGGCGAAAGCCUGACGCAGCCAUGCCGCGUGAAUGAUGAAGGUCUUAGGAUUGUAAAAUUCUUUCACCGGGGACGAUAAUGACGGUACCCGGAGAAGAAGCCCCGGCUAACUUCGUG
RNAcentral lists this ribosomal RNA (433 nucleotides) under uncultured bacterium. RNAcentral's name for it is "partial 16S ribosomal RNA". It matches the Rfam family "Bacterial small subunit ribosomal RNA", at positions 29 to 507 of the family's 1533-position model. The record is from RNAcentral.